Molecule: transfer RNA, 88 nt
Filed under: Candidatus Gottesmanbacteria bacterium RBG_13_45_10
Lineage: Bacteria; Candidatus Gottesmaniibacteriota
Description: tRNA-Ser
Rfam family: tRNA
About the family: Transfer RNA (tRNA) molecules are approximately 80 nucleotides in length. Their secondary structure includes four short double-helical elements and three loops (D, anti-codon, and T loops).
Source: RNAcentral
GGAGGCGUAGCCAAGUGGUCAUACGGCGCCGGUCUCGAAAACCGAGCGGGUCGCAAGGCCCACAGAGGUUCGAAUCCUCUCGCCUCCG